UGUGUGGUGUUGUAAUGGUUAAGAAUUUAGUUUCUAACCAAAAGGUCAGCAGUUUGAAUCUGCUCCUUGUAA
This 72-nucleotide transfer RNA is filed under the name Loxodonta africana (African savanna elephant). It matches the Rfam family "tRNA". From Rfam's summary of the family: Transfer RNA (tRNA) molecules are approximately 80 nucleotides in length. Their secondary structure includes four short double-helical elements and three loops (D, anti-codon, and T loops). Further hydrogen bonds mediate the characteristic L-shaped molecular structure. tRNAs have two regions of fundamental functional importance: the anti-codon, which is responsible for specific mRNA codon recognition, and the 3' end, to which the tRNAs corresponding amino acid is attached (by aminoacyl-tRNA synthetases). tRNAs cope with the degeneracy of the genetic code in two manners: having more than one tRNA (with a specific anti-codon) for a particular amino acid; and 'wobble' base-pairing, i.e. permitting non-standard base-pairing at the 3rd anti-codon position. Lineage: Eukaryota; Metazoa; Chordata; Mammalia; Proboscidea; Elephantidae. The record is from Rfam by way of RNAcentral.